GCUCAAUUUCCCUCAGGCCUGGGCUGCAAUCCAUGGCUGCCCCAGAGCACCCCGCUUCGGCCUUGGACCCUUCCUGCUGCAGUCCCUUUUGGAUACCGACUCGGGUUAUCUCCUAAGGAAAGGGGAUUAGUGUUGGAGGGGAGGACUCGAAAGAAACAUCCUCCAUUGAUAAAAAUCAGCAAUUCAUUGGUUACACUGGCAUAGAAGUUACCAGAUGUACUGAGAGAAAGGCCUGGAAAGAUUUACAUGAACUGAUGCUGAGUGAAACAAGCAUAACCAGGAAUACAUGGUACAAAAUAACAGCAAGAAUAUGAGAUGAUCAACUAUGAAAGAUAAGGAAACUGAGGCAAACACAAGUAAGUGACUUGCCCAAGAUCACAUAGCUAAGAAGAGUUUGAGGUUGGAUUUGAAUUCGUCUUCCUGCCUUCAAGCCUGACUUGUUUUACAAAAGAGGAAAUCUAGAGUUAAAAUCCUGGCUGUGUUAUUUACUAACUGCAUAACUCUAAUGAAGAGACUGAGCAUCAUGGAUUGUCAUGAGACCAUACCUUAAACCUCUCCCCCAGACAACCCAAGCUGAAGGAACAGUCCUUUGGAAGCUGUGGUCUUCUUCAUGCUCCAAUCCGACAUCAGAGGAAGAUUCUGUGGAGAACAAGCUGGACUAUAUCUGG
RNAcentral lists this long non-coding RNA (668 nucleotides) under Sarcophilus harrisii (Tasmanian devil). RNAcentral describes it as "lncRNA (ENSSHAG00000021163.1)". Lineage: Eukaryota; Metazoa; Chordata; Mammalia; Dasyuromorphia; Dasyuridae. The record is from RNAcentral.